AGCAAUCUGACUGACUGAGUGAUUAUCUCUGAACACAAUCUAACAUGCUUUCCUGAUUGCAUCAUGAUUGAGCACACCCAGGAAAUGAGUCAUUCAAAGAUACUCAGAAAGAUGCUUUGUGUGUUGUUCCCUGGUACUUAGAGAAAACAUCAAGAGCGAAUUACUCUUUCUACGGUAAGAAAAUUGAAGCCAGGGAAGGUUCACAAUUGCAAGAAAUACUAAAUUUCAUCUCCGGGUCAGUGAAGAUAAAGAAAAUGGAGAAAUGUGGGCUUAAAGAGGAAGGCAGUUACACGGACAUAGAUCCAGGUAUCUAAUAGAUCUGACUUAAGUGCCUCUGUGCUAUGUUAUUUGGCACAUGAAAAUGCAUGACCACGUUAUCUUCAUUGUGAAUAUUUUACGCCACUUGAAUCCAGCUUUACUAUUGUUAACGCAAAAUAUCUGAGACAAGUCUCAGCCAGUUUAGGAAGUUUAUGUUGCCAAAGUUAAGGAUAUGCCUGUGACACAGUCCGAUUGUCCUAAACAGUUCCCAGCCUGACUUUUCCCUUUAGCUUAGUGAUUUUGGGGUCCCAAAAUUUAUUUUCCCUUCACACUAUUAAUACCAUCUCCAUCUCCACUAUUUUUCCCCCUCCCAUUCUCCUCCUCCUCCUCCUUUUCUUGCUCCUCUGCCUUUUUCUUCUUGUUCCGUGCCCAUUCUGGUUUUUUUUUCAACUUUCCUGCACUUUUUUGUUUCAAUGUGCUUCCCAGCACUUAGUUGGGCUCUGAUUUUAAUCAACUGCAAGACACUAUCUGUCUUGCAGUAUUAUAGUAUUUGUUUAUUUCCACUAUUCUAAUUUUGAUUUAACUUGAGACAUCUUGUUUUAUGCUUUCUCUUUUAACACUUACUUUGUUUUCUCAUGUUUUGGAAGAGGUAUUUAUUGAUUCAACAAUAUUUACUCAAGAAUAAAUGUCAUAUAUUGUGACA
This 961-nucleotide long non-coding RNA is filed under the name Homo sapiens (human). RNAcentral describes it as "HSALNT0079642". The record is from RNAcentral. Lineage: Eukaryota; Metazoa; Chordata; Mammalia; Primates; Hominidae.